GGACCGUACCCUGAAUUGCAUCACCAGUGUGGCACAUUCAAUCAAGUGCAUAUGCAUAACAGGAAUUCUGGCGGCCAAGCUACUCUGUUUGCAACAUGCAUAAACCUCGUGGCUGGGUGGCUUCAACCUGUCACUUUCCAGUAACACCUAGUGUCCUAGUUGUGCUUCUUAGCGGUCACUGACACACCACGUUGCCAGGAUGAACUCCGUUCACUUUCCAGUAACACCUAGUGUCCUAGUUGUGCUUCUUAGCGGUCACUGACACACCACGUUGCCAGGAUGAACUCCGCUCGUAAUGAUAAACCUGCGAGGCUUUUAUCUGUAUAAUCCUUUAGUUAACCAAAUCAGCUUUGAAUCACUGGCGUCCGGG
This 370-nucleotide long non-coding RNA is filed under the name Setaria italica (foxtail millet). RNAcentral describes it as "long non-coding RNA (SITA_LNC002168)". Lineage: Eukaryota; Viridiplantae; Streptophyta; Magnoliopsida; Poales; Poaceae. The record is from RNAcentral.